Molecule: ribosomal RNA, 854 nt
Filed under: uncultured Gammaproteobacteria bacterium
Lineage: Bacteria; Pseudomonadati; Pseudomonadota; Gammaproteobacteria
Description: bacterial SSU rRNA
Rfam family: Bacterial small subunit ribosomal RNA
Source: RNAcentral
CAUGCAAGUCGAGCGGUAACAGACAUAAAGAUUCAGCUUGCUGAAUCCGGUGCUGACGAGCGGCGAACGGGUGAGUAACGCGUAGGAAUCUACCCAGUAGCGGGGGAUAGCCCGAGGAAACUCGGAUUAAUACCGCAUACGCCCCGAGGGGGAAAGGGGGCAGUUUACUGCUCUCACUAUUGGAUGAGCCUGCGUAAGAUUAGCUUGUUGGUAGGGUAAUGGCCUACCAAGGCGACGAUCUUUAGCUGGUCUGAGAGGACGAUCAGCCACAUUGGGACUGAGACACGGCCCAGACAUCUACGGAUGGCAGCAGUUAAGAAUAUUGGACAAUGGGGGCAACCCUGAUCCAGGUAUACCGCGUGUGUGAAGAAGGCCCUAGGGUUGUAAAGCACUUUAAUCAGAGAAGAAGCAUUUUAAGUUAAUACCUUAUUAUGUUGACGUUACCUGAAGAAUAAGGACCGGCUAACUCCGUGCCAGCAGCCGCGGUAAUACGGAGGGUCCAAGCGUUAAUCGGAAUUACUGGGCGUAAAGCGCGCGUAGGCGGUUUAGCAAGUUGUAUGUGAAAGCCCUGGGCUCAACCUAGGAACUGCAUCCAAAACUACUAAGCUAGAGUACGAGAGAGGAGAGUAGAAUUUCUGGUGUAGCGGUGAAAUGCGUAGAUAUCAGAAGGAAUACCAAUGGCGAAGGCAGCUCUCUGGCUCGUCACUGACGCUGAGGUGCGAAAGCGUGGGUAGCAAACAGGAUUAGAUACCCUGGUAGUCCACGCCGUAAACGAUGACAACUAGCCGUUGGGCAGAUUUAACUGUUCAGUGGCACAGCUAACGCAUUAAGUUGUCCGCCUGGGGAGUACGGCC